GAUGAACGCUGGCGGCGUGCCUAAUACAUGCAAGUCGAGCGAACAGACGAGGAGCUUACUCCUCUGACGUUAGCGGCGGACGUGUGAGUAGCACGUGGAUAACCUACCUAUAAGACUGGGAUAACUUCGGGAAACCGGAUCUAAUACCGGAUAACAUGUUGAACCGCAUGGUUCAACAGUGAAAGACGGUCUUUCUGUCACUUAUAGAUGGAUCCGCGUCGCAUUAGCUAGUUGGUAAGGUAACGGCUUACCAAGGCAACGAUGCGUAGCCGACCUGAGAGGGUGAUCGGCCACACUGGAACUGAGACACGGUCCAGACUCCUACGGGAGGCAGCAGUAGGGAAUAUUCCGCAAUGGGCGAAAGCCUGACGGAGCAAAGCCGCGUGAGUGAAGAAGGUCUUCGGAUCGUAAAACUCUGUUAUUAGGGAAGAACAAAUGUGUAAGUAAAUAUGCACGUCUUGACGGUACCUAAUCAGAAAGCCACGGCUAACUACGUG
RNAcentral lists this ribosomal RNA (497 nucleotides) under uncultured bacterium. Its description in RNAcentral is "partial 16S ribosomal RNA". It matches the Rfam family "Bacterial small subunit ribosomal RNA", at positions 28 to 507 of the family's 1533-position model. The record is from RNAcentral.